This is a non-coding RNA of Manis javanica (Malayan pangolin), 6510 nucleotides long. The record is from RefSeq and is a predicted model, not a curated record. Lineage: Eukaryota; Metazoa; Chordata; Mammalia; Pholidota; Manidae.
CUGCCCCUGGCCAGGCAAGGGACACUUGGUAGAUCUGCUGCCCCCAAAGCCCCUUUGCUGGGUACAGAAGUGGCAAACGGGGUUCACGAUGCUCCAGACUUGUCGUGUGCUCUGUUCCCAAGCCAGAUCCUCUGCUGGUGGUUGGAAGCCCCUGAGCUUUGAUGGUGGUGCCUUUCAUCUCAAGGGCACAGGAGAACUGACACGGGCUUUGCUGGUGCUACGGCUGUGUGCCUGGCCCCCUUUGGUCACACAUGGCCUGGCGCUCCAGGCCUGGUCUCAGCGACUCCUGGGCUCCCGGCUCUCAGGUGCGCUUCUCCGAGCAUCUGUCUAUGGGCAGUUUGUGGCUGGUGAGACGGCAGAGGAGGUGAGGGGCUGUGUCCAACAGCUCCAGACCCUAGGCCUCCAGCCCUUGCUGGCAGUGCCUACUGAGGAGGAGCCAGACUCGGCUGUCAGGACUGGUGAGGCCUGGUAUGAGGGGAACCUCAGCGCUAUGCUGCAGUGUGUGAACUUGUCACGAAGCCUCACGGAGACCCCCGUCCCGACUGGGAACAUUCUCAUGCAGCUGAAGGUGACAGCGUUGGUCAGCACCUGGCUCUGUAAGGAGCUAACCUCAUGGGUCAGAAGGCCAGAGGCUCCCUUGGAGCUGAGCCCUGAGAGACUGGCAGAAGCCAUGGACUCAGGGCAGGACCUCCAGGUCUCCUGCCUCAGUGCUGAGCAAAACCGGCAUCUCCAGGCCUCUCUGAGCCGCUUGCACCAGGUGGUACAGCAUGCCCGGGCCCGGUACGUGAGGCUCCUGGUGGAUGCUGAGUACACCUCGCUGAAUCCUGCUCUCUCUCUGCUGGUGGAUGCCCUGGCCAUGCGCUGGAACAGCCCUCAGGAAGGCGGGCCCUGGGUGUGGAACACUUACCAAGCCUAUCUGAAGGACACGCAUGAGCGGCUGAAGCGGGAUGCUGAGGCUGCAGACAGGGCUGGCCUGGCCUUUGGAGUGAAGCUGGUACGGGGGGCAUAUCUGGACAAGGAGAGAGAGGUGGCCCGUGUUCGAGGGACUGAAGAUCCCACUCAGCCUGACUAUGAGGCUACUAGCUGGAGUUACAGUCGCUGUCUGGAGCUGAUGCUGACCCAUGUGUCCCACAGUGGCACCAGGUGCCAUCUCAUGGUGGCUUCUCAUAAUGAGGAAUCUAUUCGCCAGGCAACUAAGCGCAUGUGGGAGCUGGGCAUUCCUCUGGAUGGGCCAGUCUGUUUUGGACAGCUUCUGGGGAUGUGUGACCACGUCUCCUUGGCACUGGUCCCAGCCAAUGCCUGGCCAGGCUCCCACCCAGAGCCUGCAGCUGGCGUAGCUGCAGUACCCUUCCGGAUGGAUCCGCUGUUCCCGGAUCUGAAGGCCCUGCAGGGCAGGCCGGCUAUGCCGUGUAUAAGUCCAUCCCCUACGGCUCCCUGGAGGAGGUGAUCCCCUACCUGAUCCGGAGGGCCCAGGAGAACCGGAGCGUGCUGCAGGGUUCCCGCAGGGAACAAGAGCUGCUCAGGCAAGAACUUCGGAGGAGGCUGCUGGGACGGGGCCUGAGGGCACCCCAUUAGCACCCGCAGGGGUCAUGUGGUCAAUAAAGAUCCUGAACCUCUGCUCUGGCUGCUGCCCUGCCCACACUGAAGCCACUCCCUUUGGGAAGGGCUAAUCUCAACCUCAGCCCGCCUAAAUUAGGGGCCUCUGCAGCUCAAGAGAGACCUUUAGAUGACCGCAGAGCAUAUAGCAAGGACAUUGAUCAAAGACUAACGAGGCCUCCCUUCAACUCUGAGGCAGUCUAUACCACAAUAGCCCUGGGGUCACCUCUACUCAGCCAGUCAGUGGCUGACUCGGGAACUUUACUUCAGUGGAUGCCCAGAUGAAGAGCAGACACUGAGGCACCGAGGACAAGAGGUGCGCUAAGGCCGCAAAUGGGGAGAGGGGCAAAAGGGGCACACAGUCUCUCAUUUAAUAAGAAUUGACAGAGGCCACCUUCUGAGAUAGGAGCCAAGCUGGGAACCCAGGGAAGCAGGGCAGGAGAUCCCGCCAGGCCCCUGGAGCAGGGUGCUGCUACAGUGAAGGGUGUCGGUGGAAAGGACAGUCAGGAGGCUGAGUGGACGGACGAUGGGGCUGGUAGGCUGGAUGGGAGGGGGACAUUUAGGAGAAGCCCAGGGCUCUGGCUGGAAGAGGACAGUGGGGCCAACCCUGAGAUGGGGAUCUGGGAGGAAAUAUGGUUUGGGGGAGAUACUGAAGUCAGUAUGGGAGCCUACGGGUAUAAAGGUCCCAGGGGACAUCCAGGGGGAGGUGUACAGGACACUGGGGGUGCCCAGGUCUGGGGCAAAGAGGAGACAAUGGGGUAGAAACAGUCCUUGGCAUUGGAAGAAAAGCAUGGGGAGAUAGCCAAGGACAGGGAUCAGGGUCUUGCCACCUCAAACAAGUCCUGGGAUUGAGGGUAAAAAAGGGGUGACAAGUAGGGCACAGUCGACAGCUCUGUGGCGGACUUCUGGGUCUCUCCUCUCCGGUCAUGUCAGGGACUGACUGACUCUCAAGAAGAGAGGCUACUGCAUAAGUGCAAAUCUGGCAGGACACCACUGAUGCGCAUGUGCCUAGGAUUCCUGCCCAGACCUGUGGGGCUAGUCACGCCUCGGGGUCACGUGGCAGCCACACAGUCCUCACUGUGCAAGCCCAGUGGUAGGUGCGAAACUUCCCAGACUGUUGUCUGGGACCGAGAACCUUCCUGGAGCUUACUGGGCCCAAAGCUGGCUCCCAGAACCCACCCUCAGACCUGCCCCUCCCUCAUAUUCCCUUCGCACCCCUCCUCCCCCUCAGCCCCCACCCUGUUAUCAGCCGCUCACUCAGUCCCACAGACCCUUGCCGCAGCCCACAGAUCCAGUGCCCGAAGCCUUUCAGUCUCCCUAGCCUAGCUCACAUACGCUCCCUGUUCCUUAGUCCGCACCCUGACCCUCAGACACGAUUACAGCCUGGAGACCCGAAGUCCUCCCUUUCCCUAGACCGCAGACCCUGCCCCCAGGCUGUCCUCCUCUCUUGGACCCCCUUGCACACCCUGGAACCCCCACCCCCUCUCAGGUCCUAACCCUGCAGCCCCUGUAACUCCAGCCCAUAGGUACUCUUCAGCCCCUCCUCCUGCAGACUCCGUUCCCGGGCCCAGAUCCUAUCCCUGUAGCCACAACACCCACUCCCACAGACAGAAUGCCCAGCCCUCAGAUCUCCUUAGAUUCCUGGUCUUACAGUAUGUCAAACUAUCAGAGUCCACCCUUUUGCUCAUUUACCCACUUUCCGACAAAUUAGACCCCUCUUGAAUCCGUCCUUUCUCAGACUGCACCUGGAACUUUCAGCCAGCUCUGUUUUUAUUGCCUCUAGAGGUCCCAUAUUUCAUUUUCUCCUGCCAUCAUGAGACCUCCUAGCUGAUCCCUGCCCAGAAGCUGCCUAAAUCCGGACCCACAGGUGCCCUCACUGUGCUCCCACUUCCUGCUGGAGCUGGAUUCUGUGGGGGGUUCAGAAGCCCAGGUGUGCCGUCUGCAUUGCCUUGCUGCAGCUGGGGGCCCACACGGAGGCCUCACCUGGCUCCUGCGGAGAGGUGAGAGUCUGGCGGCUGGAACUGCCUAUGAGGGCAAGAUCAGGGGCUAGUAUGGUGUGACUAUGAAGGUGUGACUUCACUUGGCCAGUCAACAGUUGUGUGCCAGGCACCUAGUGUGUGCCAGGCUCUGUUGUCUGUGAUGGGGAUUCAGGGGUGAACAUGACUGAGCCAUUGUGAAUGAAAUCUAUUAUGGGAAUUCGAGAGAGUGAUGAAGAGGAAGUAGGCCUACUGAAAACGAUGGCCUUUUGGAUGGGUUGAUAUUUGAGCCCCACAGGAUAAGAGCCAAUCAUGCAAAAACCUUUGGGAAGAGCACUUCAGAAAGAUGGAACAGCCAGUGCAGAGACCCUGAGGUCAAAAUAAACUGCGUAUGUGUAAGUAGCAAGGAGACUCAGGGAAAGGACCGAAGCUGAAGAGGCAGCAGGUGCAGACAAGAAAGGGACUCAAAAGGAGUGCGAGCUUGUUGGAUUUUGUUCUGUGUGUGAUGGGGAACUAUUGGAGGUGUAAGUAGAGAGUCAACAUCCAAUUUACAAUGUCCAUUUUUCAUUGAUUUUGGUAAGUUGAUUGUGUUUUUGGCCACUUUCUGAACUUAAUAUAAUUGUUGAUUCUUUACAUGUUUUGUUAUUUGCAUGUGGUGACAAUUGGGUCUCAGCCCUUUCAUCUUUAUACUCUAACUUCUUUUUCUUGUUGUAAGAUGUUGGCAGGAACUCUCAGCCUUGUUGAUGGACAUCUCUUUCCUUGCUGAUAUUAAGGGGAAUGAGUGUGUGUUUCUGCCUUAAGCAUCAUGUAUGCUUUUGUGUUUUGGUCUAUAAUUUUUAUCAAGUAAGGAAGUUCCCACUAAUUCUUAGUUUUCUGAGGUUUUCCUUUUUUCCCUAAUCAUAAGUGUUGAAUUUUAUCAGAUACUUUUUCUGUAUCUACUGAGUUAAAUGUGAUUUUUGUCCUUUGAUCCAUGAAUGCAUUUUACUACAGUGAUAGAUUUUCUUAUGUUGAAUCAUCUUUUCUUUCUGGGAAUAAGUCGACUGGGUUAUCCCUUUUGCUUCUUUAGAGGUUUUUGCAUAUAUGAUCAUAAAUGCAAUUGAUAAUUUCAUUUCUGAUUCUGGAAACUCUUAUCUGGUUUUGGAAUUAAGGUCAUACUAGCCUCAUAAAAUCAGCCUUACAAUUUUUUUCUGUUUUUGGAACAAUUUGUGUAAGAUUGUCUAUACAUGAAAUGAAAUGGUUAUGAUUAUAAUGAAUACCUAUAUCAUGCAAUGAUUUAAAUUGAAGAAGAUCCUCUGCAGGGAAAUACAAGUGCAGAAAACCAGGUAGGUUGCCCUUGCAAAAGAGAGUGGGUCACUGAGUAAAAGAGAAUGCAAUAAAUGUAUGUUCAGAGGUUCCUAAAGGACCACAUUUGGAAGGAUUUUGUGGCAGAGACCAAACUGGGUUGGACCAAGUGUGUGAUUAGCCCUGUGUGCCAAGGACAUAGGAGUGCAAAGACAAGACUCCAUGCGUUUGCCCUCCUUAGUGAUAUGGGCUGGGUUCUGGAGGAGGAGGACACUGGGGAUGCUGGGUGCAGAGAUGAGGGGUUGGGAAGCAGUAUCUGAGUAGGAGGACUGUGGGCAGGAGAUUGGGGUGGACAUGGAGGUGGAGGUGAAGAGGAAGUUGCUGCUUGGAUUCGGCUCCUAGUGCAGUGUUCAAAAAUGACUUGAGAAAUUUCCUGAUAAAAUCCCAAAUCUGCUUUUCUUGAAGAAUUGGAUGAUGGCCAGGUGGGACCUGUAUACAUACACUGAAUUAGAGCUGGGUGGAGGCUGCCUGCCUUGGACAGUGCAUGAGGCACUGUUCUCAUGAAAUCCACUUUCCCCUGGCCCCUGCGUGCCUUUCUGUGAUCCUGACACCUCUGGGAUGGGGGAUGGAUGUUGGCAUGGCAGGUAGAUGUCACUCCUUGUUCCAGCUAUGGAUUUACUGGUGAGCACUGCUUUGAGGCAGAUUUUGAGGCAGAGUUCCCAGAAGCUUGUUGUCAGGGGUGGUGUUCUAGGACAGAGAGAUAGAACCUGGAAUCAAGAAUCACUCAGUCAAGGAGGGAUUAUAGGUGCAGGGAAUUGGCAACGGUGUUGCCCGGAAGCCCCCAAGAACUCUGGGACAGCCCUAAGCCUUGCUGCCCUUCAGUUAUCCAGGUAGAUGGUGAGCACUCUGCUGGGCAGACAGGGCUCUUCCUCUUGGUGCUGUUGGGCCACAGCUCUGCUGCGAAGUUCCUGCUGGCCUCUGGUGCCAAUCCCAACCAGUGAGUGGACGGGUGGUGAAGCCCCCACAUUCCCAGGGCCCCGAGUCUGAGCCCCAGAGAACCUGAGAGCCAGGGCUCUCUUCGAAGGGGCCUUUCCGCUUCCUUCACCAGGGACCCCUCCCCUUGUCCUCUCAGUGAACCUUUUGUCCUCCAGUGACUAUUCCUGUUCUGCUGGGGCCUCCCAUGCUCACAGUGAUCCUCGCACCUCUCAAGGACCCCAUUGUGACCCCUCCCAUCCUGAGAUCCACCUCCCAUGUACCCAGUGACCCCUUUCAUCCCUUAAGCUCUCAUCCUGCCAUCUCUUGUCCCUGAAGUGUCCCCUUUGCCAUCCAUUCCUGUCAUUGUCCUGCUGGCGCCCAUGGCAGUGCACCUGUGCACGCAGGUACAUUUUUGGGCCAUGGCCUGUGGAUGUUGCAGCUGCCGCAGGCAGGGGUGACCUGCAUCUGCAUGACCAGCAGGAGCCCAUGCUUCAGGGCUCACGGAGCAGGGUGAUGCCAGGCAGAGCUGGGAGGUGCUGGAGCUGUUACAGCACUGUCGUGCCCACGCAUCAGCACUAGUGCAUGGCAGUGUUAGUGCCCACUGUGUCCCUGGGCCAGUUGCAGGCAAGCUGUGGACACAGCGUGGUUCCCUGUCCAUGCUCCAGCUGGCUCAGGUGGACAG